CCUACGGGCGGCAGCAGUGAGGAAUAUUGGUCAAUGGCCGAGAGGCUGAACCAGCCAAGUCGCGUGAGGGAAGACGGCCCUACGGGUUGUAAACCUCUUUUGUCGGGGAGCAAAGCGAGUCACGUGUGACUCAUUGAGAGUACCCGAAGAAAAAGCAUCGGCUAACUCCGUGCCAGCAGCCGCGGUAAUACGGAGGAUGCGAGCGUUAUCCGGAUUUAUUGGGUUAAAAGGGUGCGCAGGCGGAGGUGCAAGUCAGCGGUAAAAUUGCGGGGCUCAACCCCGUACUGCCGUUGAAACUGCAUCCCUUGAGUGCGCGAGAAGUAUGCGGAAUGCGUGGUGUAGCGGUGAAAUGCAUAGAUAUCACGCAGAACUCCGAUUGCGAAGGCAGCAUACCGGCGCGCAACUGACGCUGAGGCACGAAGGCCUGGGGAGCGAAAGGGAUUAGAUACCCGUGUAGUC
RNAcentral lists this ribosomal RNA (459 nucleotides) under uncultured bacterium. RNAcentral's name for it is "partial 16S ribosomal RNA". It matches the Rfam family "Bacterial small subunit ribosomal RNA", at positions 338 to 795 of the family's 1533-position model. The record is from RNAcentral.